Molecule: ribosomal RNA, 325 nt
Filed under: uncultured eukaryote
Lineage: Eukaryota
Description: partial 18S ribosomal RNA
Rfam family: Eukaryotic small subunit ribosomal RNA
Source: RNAcentral
CCCUUAGAUGUUCUGGGCCGCACGCGCGCUACACUGACUGCUCCAACAAGUUACCUGGGCUGACAAGCAUCCGGGAAAUCUUGCAAAGGCAGUCGUGAUGGGGAUAGAUUCUUGUAAUUUUUGAUCUUCAACGAGGAAUUCCUAGUAAACGCAAGUCAUCAGCUUGCAUUGAUUACGUCCCUGCCCUUUGUACACACCGCCUGUCGCAUCUACCGAUUGAAUGGAGAGGCAAAAUCUUCGGACCGUGACGCUUGGGAGUCAAAUCUCGGGCUGUCGUGGGAAGUGGAUUAAACCUUUCUAUUUAGAGGAAGGUAAAGUCGUAACA